Molecule: unclassified non-coding RNA, 406 nt
Filed under: soil metagenome
Description: partial contains 5.8S ribosomal RNA, internal transcribed spacer 2, and large subunit ribosomal RNA
Rfam family: 5.8S ribosomal RNA (bases 1-121)
Source: RNAcentral
GAUGAAGAACGCAACGAAAUGCGAUAAGUAAUGUGAAUUGCAGAAUUCAGUGAAUCAUCGAAUCUUUGAACGCACCUUGCGCCCUUUGGCCAUUCCGAAGGGCAUGCCUGUUUGAGUAUCAUGAACACCUCAACUCUUCAUGGUUUUCCGUGAUGAGCUUGGACUUUGGGGGUCUUGCUGGCCUAUGGUCAGCUCCUCUAAAAUAAAUCAGCUUGCCAGUGUUUGGUGGGUAUCACAGGUGUGAUAACUAUCUACGCUUGUGGUUUUCCACCAGGUAACCUUCAGCAGUGGAGGUUCGCUGGAGCUCACAGAUGUGUCUCUCCUCAGUGAGGACAGCUCUUUGAAUGUUUGAUCUCAAAUCAGGUAGGACUACCCGCUGAACUUAAGCAUAUCAAUAAGCGGAGGA